This 1493-nucleotide ribosomal RNA is filed under the name metagenome. RNAcentral's name for it is "bacterial LSU rRNA". It matches the Rfam family "Bacterial large subunit ribosomal RNA", at positions 1459 to 2925 of the family's 2925-position model. The record is from RNAcentral.
CGAAGCCGGGGGGACGGAGGAGGUUAACGCGGCCGGGUGCUGGAUGUCCCGGUUCAAGGCAGUAGGGUGUCCUCGAGGCAAGCGUAACUUGAGGGCAAACCCGAGAGCUGAUGACGUGGUCUUCGGACCGUAAGCGCGCGAUACCACACUCCCAAGAAAAGCCCCGCGUUCAGUGGAGCCAUGUGGCGACCGUACCGCAAACCGACACAGGUGGGCGAGGAGAAAAUCCUCAGGCGCUUGAGAGAAAUCUGGCCAAGGAACUAGGCAAAUUGCCACCGUAACUUCGGAAGAAGGUGGGCCUCCGGUAGGUGUAGAGCCUCGCGCUCGAAGCCGAAGGAGGUAGCAUGAAAACGGGGGUAGCGACUGUUUACCAAAAACACAGGACUCUGCAAACUCACGAAGAGGAAGUAUAGGGUCUGACGCCUGCCCGGUGCCGGAAGGUUAAGGGGAUCUGUCAGCCGCAAGGCGAAGCAGUGAUCCGAAGCCCCGGUAAACGGCGGCCGUAACUAUAACGGUCCUAAGGUAGCGAAAUUCCUUGUCGGGUUUUCCGACCUGCACGAAAGGCGUAACGACUUCCCCACUGUCUCGGCCAGGUGCUCAGCGAAAUUGAAAUAGCUGUGAAGAUGCAGUUUACCCGCAGCAAGACGGAAAGACCCCGUGAACCUUUACUCUAACUUGACAGUGACACUAGGGCUUGCUUGUGUAGCAUAGGUGGGAGGCUUUGAAGCCGGGGCGCUAGCUUCGGUGGAGCCAACGGUGAAAUACCACCCUGGCGAGUUCUGGUGUCUCACCGAGACCCGUAAACCGGGUCCGGGACACUGUCUGGUGGGGAGUUUGACUGGGGCGGUCGCCUCCCAAAGCGUAACGGAGGCGCGCGAAGGUUCCCUCAGCCCGAUUGGAAACCGGGCGAUGAGUGCAAUAGCAUAAGGGAGCUUGACUGCGAGACCGACGGGUCGAGCAGGUGCGAAAGCAGGUCAUAGUGAUCCGGUGGUUCUGUAUGGAAGGGCCAUCGCUCAACGGAUAAAAGGUACUCCGGGGAUAACAGGCUUAUCACGCCCAAGAGUUCACAUCGACGGCGUGGUUUGGCACCUCGAUGUCGGCUCAUCGCAUCCUGGGGCUGGAGCAGGUCCCAAGGGUUUGGCUGUUCGCCAAUUAAAGCGGUACGCGAGCUGGGUUCAAAACGUCGUGAGACAGUUUGGUCCCUAUCUGCUGUGGGCGUAGGAGACUUGAGAGGCGCUGUCCUUAGUACGAGAGGACCGGGAUGGACGUACCUCUGGUGCACCAGUUGCCCCGCCCGGGGCAUCACUGGGUAGCCAUGUACGGAUGGGAUAACCGCUGAAAGCAUCUAAGCGGGAAACCCACCUCAAGAUUAGGUCUCCCGGGGAGCAAUCCCCCUGAAGGUCCGUCGGAGACGACGACGUUGAUAGGCCGGAGGUGUACGCGCGGUGACGCGCUCAGCUGACCGGUACUAAUCGACCGUGCGGCUUGGUCAU